RNAcentral lists this long non-coding RNA (1025 nucleotides) under Panax ginseng (ginseng). RNAcentral's name for it is "long non-coding RNA (PGIN_LNC002700)". The record is from RNAcentral. Lineage: Eukaryota; Viridiplantae; Streptophyta; Magnoliopsida; Apiales; Araliaceae.
AUUGAGACAAAAAAAAUAAAAAUUACCGCCCAAAUCAAACCCUCCACACUCUACUGUCUCCUACUCUCCUUCCCGUGUACUUUUGGGUAUACUUUUUGAUUUUGCUUUUUUUGUUCCUGAUUACUUUUGGGUAUAAAACUUUAUAUGUUUGUUGUUGCCCUGUAAAUUAAAUUUGAAUACAGAAAGUGGGUGCUUGAUUUUAUACUCAAAGUUUGCUCAUCUUUAUGUUAUACUCAAGGUUUAUUGUAUACAAUCUUUGUUACCAAGAAAAAUCAACUUUGAAGCGAUAAGCUGAGCUCUAGGUCUUCUAAUAAAAAAAGAUAGUCUUUGAAGCGGCGUCAUUGAGCUCUGGGUCUUUUUUCUUGCAAUGACGGUGGAUUCAAGGGAAAAGGUGAGAUUUUAUUCUCUAAUUCUAAGCUGCAUUUUAGUGUUUCUUCGUACCCAUCUCUUUGCAUUUAUCUUAAAAAUCGUUCUGCUUUGUGUUAGCAUAAUAAUUAGCAUAAUUUUGUUUAAUUAAAGUUGGUUAAUGAGUGGAAAAAAGGAAUAAAGGCAUAUUUGCAACAUAAAGGCUUUUUUUAGAACGGAAGGGUAAACACUAUUUACUGUUUUUGCAGAAGGAAUGGAGAAUGACAUGCUUUUGUUUUUCUCUUUUGCUUCUCUAAACAACGAAGAGUACUUAAGAGUACCCAAGUGUUGUUUGGCAUCAUGGAGCUGCAAAACAUGCUUGAAAAGUGUUUUCUAUUUUCUAUUCUGUUUGUUUGUUAUAGUGCAACCGAUUUUUGUGACUUGAAGAAUUUAUAGUGAAUACAACUCAGUCCAUAUGCCUUGGAGAAUACAGAAGAUGAGAGUGAAUUUACUUCCACUGUUUGAGUUAUGUAUCAUUUUAUUAUCCCCCUUUCUUGGAGGAGAAGAUGAGAAUCACUACACAUGACUAAUUUAACAAUGAGAAUGAGAAUGGCUAAUUUGAGUUAUGUAUCAUUUCACAUAAUAAGUGAUAUGUAUUAUGUAAACUUAACAAAUGCAUG